GCCCGCUUGGCUUAGUGGUACAGCGUCUCACUCGUACGGAUCAUGUGUGUGUGAUGAGAAGAUCCUCGGUUCGAUUCCGAGAGUGGGCA
This is a non-coding RNA of Lindgomyces ingoldianus, 89 nucleotides long. Lineage: Eukaryota; Fungi; Ascomycota; Dothideomycetes; Pleosporales; Lindgomycetaceae. The record is from the annotation of a RefSeq genome assembly.